CGGGGCUUAAUGUCUUGUGAUUGGAAUGAUGGGAAUUUAAACCUCUUCCAGAGUAUCAAUUGGAGGGCAAGUCUGGUGCCAGCAGCCGCGGUAAUUCCAGCUCCAAUAGCGUAUAUUAAAAUUGUUGCAGUUAAAAAGCUCGUAGUUGAAUUUCUGCUGCAUUACAUAUCUCUUGUUUGAGUUUGUUUUUGUGGCUUAUUUCGGUUUGAUUUUUUCUUUCCGGAUGAUUACUUUGAGAAAAUUAGAGUGUUCAAAGCAGGUCUGCGCCUGAAUACAUUAGCAUGGAAUAAUAAAAUAGGACGUGCGGUUCUAUUUUGUUGGUUUCUAGAGUCGCCGUAAUGAUUAAUAGGGAUAGUUGGGGGCAUUAGUAUUCAGUUGCUAGAGGUGAAAUUCUUGGAUUUACUGAAGACUAACUACUGCGAAAGCAUUUGCCAAGGAUGUUUUCUUUAAUCAAGAAC
This 458-nucleotide ribosomal RNA is filed under the name Theileria orientalis. RNAcentral describes it as "SSU rRNA". It matches the Rfam family "Eukaryotic small subunit ribosomal RNA", at positions 486 to 984 of the family's 1831-position model. The record is from RNAcentral. Lineage: Eukaryota; Apicomplexa; Aconoidasida; Piroplasmida; Theileriidae.